This 351-nucleotide ribosomal RNA is filed under the name uncultured bacterium. RNAcentral's name for it is "partial 16S ribosomal RNA". It matches the Rfam family "Bacterial small subunit ribosomal RNA", at positions 45 to 425 of the family's 1533-position model. The record is from RNAcentral.
UGCUUAACACAUGCAAGUCGAACGGAAUUUUUAAUUUCGUGGCGAACGGGUGAGUAAUCGCAGAAUUUUACCUUUUAGUCCAAAUAAAAAUUUUUAUAAAAAAUUAAAUGUUGGAUAAUUUUAAAAGGUUAUUUUUUUCCGCUAAAAGAUAAAUCUGCUUAAGAUUAGGUUGUUGGUAAUUUAAAAGCUUACCAAGCCUAUGAUCUUUAGUUGGUCUGAGAGGAUGAUCAACCACACUAGAACUGAAAUAAGGUCUAGGCUGACUUGUCGGCCAGCAGUGAGGAAUAUUGGACAAUGGACGAAAGUCUGAUCCAGCAAUACUAACUGGGUGAUGACGGCUUAUAUAAGUUG